AUUUUAUCGUCUCCGCAGAUUGCUGGAAUUACUUUAAAACUAGACAGUUCUAUAGAUGUCCCUUCAAGUAAAAGAUCCAAUUUUCUGGAAGCAUCACAAGAGGAACCACUUGUUAGCAAUCAUAUCACCUCUAGCCCUAGAAAUCCUUCUUCAGCAUUGCCAGUGGUCAACAAGAUCCAUUGUAGUCCUUCCGACUCUGAAA
Molecule: unclassified non-coding RNA, 202 nt
Filed under: Hevea brasiliensis (rubber tree)
Lineage: Eukaryota; Viridiplantae; Streptophyta; Magnoliopsida; Malpighiales; Euphorbiaceae
Source: RNAcentral